CCCGAUUUUUAUUAUUAUUAAAAUAUUUGGGGCAACGCCACGCCUUUGCUCUCCGCCGCGGCGGCGAAUCUUUUCAUCUCCUUCCAGAUUCGAUCUAGCAUCGACGCUUUAGCGGCUUCAUCGUCUCCUUCCUCUCGCCGCCGCCCUCCGCAUUCCAGAGGGAAUUUGGCGACGGAGAAAAGGCGACGAUGGAGAGGGAUACCUUGUCUGUCAUCGGCAACAGAAGCCAGGUCACGGGGAGCUUCCAAAAGAGCUUCCUGCAGGUGCAGAGCAUCCUGGACCAGAACAGGCUCCUGAUUAACGAGAUCAACCAGAACCACAACUCCAAAACCCCCGACGACCUCAGCCGCAACGUCGGCCUGAUUCGAGAGCUCAACAACAACAUCCGCCGCGCCGUCGAUCUCUAUGGUGAUCUAUCCGUCUCCUUCGCUGACUCCAUGGGCGGCCACAAGAGGAACACAGCUAUAUAAAGAGUCGAUUCAAUUAGAAAGAGGCAGUAGAGGAUGAGACAGUUUACACUUGCUUGGAUACAAAAAACAGUGUAUAAGCUUGGAGAUGAUAGAUCACACAGAAACAUAACAGAUUAUUAUUUA
Long non-coding RNA from Zingiber officinale, 593 nucleotides. RefSeq lists it as uncharacterized. The transcript has 2 exons. Lineage: Eukaryota; Viridiplantae; Streptophyta; Magnoliopsida; Zingiberales; Zingiberaceae. The record is from RefSeq and is a predicted model, not a curated record.